CAUUCCCACCGCGUGUGUGACCGGGCGACUAUUAUGGGAUGUGUCUGUACCGACGGCGGGGCUGCCGCCCUGGGAAAUAUUAUGGGAUGCAGCAGACAGAGCGGGGGUGGGGGGUUAUUAUGGGAUGGCAGUGGCAGGGGCCACAGCCCUCAGCCCGGCCUUCCUGCUCGUGCCCCGGGGGACACCCCCAGCCCGGUGCCCCCCACCCCCACACAGCCCCAACCAAUAAAUCCGGCAGGGUAUUAUGGGAUGGCUGCUCCACGGAGCUUGCCAUGCGAGUCCCGGUGUCACAAAGCUAGGAGCCAGCAACUUGGUGAAACAUGGACAUGUGUGGCACAAAGCAAGACCCCUCCCGGAGCACUUCACCUCUGAGCAGGACCCAGUGUGUGACUUGGUUACAGCACAGCCCCAAAGUUACCCAGCUGGUUGUUCCCUGUUACAGGCAAGAGAAAACUGCCUCCAGGCACUCAGGGCUCUCGAUGCUUUGCAAACCUCUGGCUGCUUUGGAGCCCAAGGUGACUUAAUGAGAUUUGAGUCUUGUACAUCCUUCUCUUGAGCAAAUCCAAGUCCAUCAGCUCUGCUCAGCAGCAGUGGGGUUUGAACCCCCUUGAAUGGGACAUACAGCCUCCAGGCUAAUUUGUGCUGUUCCCUGUAGCACAGCUGUUGCUGGGUGCAGUGCUGGAAACGCCUCUCCCAGAUCCAGCUGGAGGUAGGAGAUGAAGGAGAAUUCUGUCCCAGCCUGUUUUUUCAGUAUCUCUGCUUACUGAGCUCAAGAGAUGUGUUUCAGUGUUAGUGAUUCUUGCCAGCAUGCACAAGCGUUAAUACAGGAUGCAAAAAUAGGUAUCACAGGAUUGCAGUCGGGGCAGCUCGAACCACCAGGCUGUUAUUACGGUCCCUCUGAGACCACUUGCUGCUUCUCUGGCUGGAUCCAACUGUUUGUUUCGUGAGCAGGGGAGCAGGGCAUCUCUGAGGCACUUCAGGGAAGUGGGAACCUGAAACUGCUAACUAAUAAGCAUCCUUAACUUCUGAGUAUUUCUUCCAGCUUUCGUUAUUCAUGAUAUACAAAAUUCUGUGUUAAAAGACUGAUAAUGUUGCAAAGUAGUAUUUUUACAAUUGCAAAAUAGUAUUUGUUUCUUACAUCUUAGUAAGUGCCUCCAUCUUCAGAAAAAAAAAGGUGAAGGUAAACAUGGAAAAUUCA
Molecule: long non-coding RNA, 1198 nt
Organism: Falco peregrinus (peregrine falcon)
Lineage: Eukaryota; Metazoa; Chordata; Aves; Falconiformes; Falconidae
Exons: 2
Source: RefSeq, a predicted model, not a curated record